This 176-nucleotide ribosomal RNA is filed under the name uncultured bacterium. Its description in RNAcentral is "partial 16S ribosomal RNA". It matches the Rfam family "Bacterial small subunit ribosomal RNA", at positions 335 to 526 of the family's 1533-position model. The record is from RNAcentral.
ACUCCUACGGGAGGCAGCAGUGGGGAAUUUUCCGCAAUGGGCGAAAGCCUGACGGAGCAACGCCGCGUGAGGGAUGAAGGCCUCUGGGCUGUAAACCUCUUUUAUCAAGGAAGAAGAUCUGACGGUACUUGAUGAAUAAGCCACGGCUAAUUCCGUGCCAGCAGCCGCGGUAAUAC